GGAGGGUGCGAGCGUUAAUCGGAAUUACGUGGGCGUAAAGGGCGCGUAGGUGGUUAUGUAAGUGAGAUGUGAAAUCCCCGGGCUCAACCUGGGAACUGCGUCUUAUACUGCAUAGCUGGAGUACAUGAGAGGGUAGUGGAAUUUCCGGUGUAGCGGUGAAAUGCGUAGAUAUCGGAAGGAACACCAGUGGCGAAGGCGGCUACCUGGCAUGAUACUGACACUGAGGCGCGAGAGCGUGGGGAGCAAACAGGAUUAGAUACCCUGGUAGUCCACGCGGUAAACGAUGAAAACUAGAUGUUGGGCAGCUUAGACUGUUCGGUAUCGAAGCCAACGCGAUAAGUUUUCCGCCUGGGGAGUACGGUCGCAAGAUUA
This 372-nucleotide ribosomal RNA is filed under the name uncultured bacterium. Its description in RNAcentral is "bacterial SSU rRNA". It matches the Rfam family "Bacterial small subunit ribosomal RNA", at positions 527 to 896 of the family's 1533-position model. The record is from RNAcentral.